AGCGUACACGGUGGAUGCCUAGGCAGUCAGAGGCGAUGAAGGGCGUGCUAAUCUGCGAAAAGCGUCGGUAAGGUGAUAUGAACCGUUACAACCGGCGAUACCCGAAUGGGGAAACCCAGUGUGUUUCGACACACUAUCAUGUCAUGAAUACAUAGUGGCAUGAGGCGAACCGGGGGAACUGAAACAUCUAAGUACCCCGAGGAAAAGAAAUCAACCGAGAUUCCCCCAGUAGCGGCGAGCGAACGGGGAGGAGCCCAGAACCUGAAUCGGCUUGUGUGUUAGUGGAAGCGUCUGGAAAGUCGCGCAGCAAAGGGUGAUAGCCCCGUACACUAAAAUGCACAGGUCGUGAGUUCGAUGAGUAGGGCGGGACACGUGACAUCCUGUCUGAAUAUGGGGGGACCAUCCUCCAAGGCUAAAUACUCCUGACUGACCGAUAGUGAACCAGUACCGUGAGGGAAAGGCGAAAAGAACCCCGGCGAGGGGAGUGAAAUAGAACCUGAAACCGUGUACGUACAAGCAGUGGGAGCACCUUCGUGGUGUGACUGCGUACCUUUUGUAUAAUGGGUCAGCGACUUAUAUUUUGUAGCAAGGUUAACCGUAUAGGGGAGCCGUAGGGAAACCGAGUCUUAACUGGGCGAUUAGUUGCAAGGUAUAGACCCGAAACCCGGUGAUCUAGCCAUGGGCAGGUUGAAGGUUGGGUAACACUAACUGGAGGACCGAACCGACUAAUGUUGAAAAAUUAGCGGAUGACUUGUGGCUGGGGGUGAAAGGCCAAUCAAACCGGGAGAUAGCUGGUUCUCCCCGAAAGCUAUUUAGGUAGCGCCUCGUGAACUCAUCUUCGGGGGUAGAGCACUGUUUCGGCUAGGGGGCCAUCCCGGCUUACCAAACCGAUGCAAACUCCGAAUACCGAAGAAUGUUAUCACGGGAGACACACGGCGGGUGCUAACGUCCGUCGUGAAGAGGGAAACAACCCAGACCGCCAGCUAAGGUCCCAAAGUCAUGGUUAAGUGGGAAACGAUGUGGGAAGGCACAGACAGCCAGGAUGUUGGCUUAGAAGCAGCCAUCAUUUAAAGAAAGCGUAAUAGCUCACUGGUCGAGUCGGCCUGCGCGGAAGAUGUAACGGGGCUAAACCAUGCACCGAAGCUGCGGCAGCGACGCUUAGGCGUUGUUGGGUAGGGGAGCGUUCUGUAAGCCGUUGAAGGUGGCCUGUGAGGGUUGCUGGAGGUAUCAGAAGUGCGAAUGCUGACAUAAGUAACGAUAAAGCGGGUGAAAAGCCCGCUCGCCGGAAGACCAAGGGUUCCUGUCCAACGUUAAUCGGGGCAGGGUGAGUCGACCCCUAAGGCGAGGCUGAAAAGCGUAGUCGAUGGGAAACAGGUUAAUAUUCCUGUACUUGGUGUUACUGCGAAGGGGGGACGGAGAAGGCUAGGCUGGCCGGGCGACGGUUGUCCCGGUUUAAGCGUGUAGGGGGUGUGACCUGGUAAAUCCGGUUGCAUACUAACCCUGAGGCGUGAUGACGAUGCACUACGGUGCAGAAGUAGUUGAUGCCCUGCUUCCAGGAAAAUCCUCUAAGCUCCAGGUAACAUUAAAUCGUACCCCAAACCGACACAGGUGGUCAGGUAGAGAAUACCAAGGCGCUUGAGAGAACUCGGGUGAAGGAACUAGGCAAAAUGGUGCCGUAACUUCGGGAGAAGGCACGCUGGCAUGUAGGUGAAGUCCCUUGCGGAUGGAGCUGAAGCCAGUCGAAGAUACCAGCUGGCUGCAACUGUUUAAUAAAAACACAGCACUGUGCAAACACGAAAGUGGACGUAUACGGUGUGACGCCUGCCCGGUGCUGGAAGGUUAAUUGAUGGGGUCAGCCGCAAGGCGAAGCUCUUGAUCGAAGCCCCAGUAAACGGCGGCCGUAACUAUAACGGUCCUAAGGUAGCGAAAUUCCUUGUCGGGUAAGUUCCGACCUGCACGAAUGGCGUAAUGAUGGCCAGGCUGUCUCCACCCGAGACUCAGUGAAAUUGAACUCGCUGUGAAGAUGCAGUGUACCCGCGGCAAGACGGAAAGACCCCGUGAACCUUUACUAUAGCUUGACACUGAACAUUGAGCCUUGAUGUGUAGGAUAGGUGGGAGGCUUUGAAGCGUGGACGCCAGUCUGCGUGGAGCCAUCCUUGAAAUACCACCCUUUAAUGUUUGAUGUUCUAACUCNGGGGUGAGGACAGUGUCUGGUGGGUAGUUUGACUGGGGCGGUCUCCUCCCAAAGAGUAACGGAGGAGCACGAAGGUUAGCUAAUCACGGUCGGACAUCGUGAGGUUAGUGCAAAGGCAUAAGCUAGCUUGACUGCGAGAGUGACGGCUCGAGCAGGUACGAAAGUAGGUCUUAGUGAUCCGGUGGUUCUGAAUGGAAGGGCCAUCGCUCAACGGAUAAAAGGUACUCCGGGGAUAACAGGCUGAUACCGCCCAAGAGUUCAUAUCGACGGCGGUGUUUGGCACCUCGAUGUCGGCUCAUCACAUCCUGGGGCUGAAGUAGGUCCCAAGGGUAUGGCUGUUCGCCAUUUAAAGUGGUACGCGAGCUGGGUUUAGAACGUCGUGAGACAGUUCGGUCCCUAUCUGCCGUGGGCGUUGGAAGAUUGAGAGGGGUUGCUCCUAGUACGAGAGGACCGGAGUGAACGCACCACUGGUGUUCGGGUUGUCAUGCCAAUGGCAUUGCCCGGUAGCUAAGUGCGGAAAAGAUAAGCGCUGAAAGCAUCUAAGCGCGAAACUUGCCUCAAGAUGAGUCU
RNAcentral lists this ribosomal RNA (2764 nucleotides) under Serratia marcescens. RNAcentral describes it as "bacterial LSU rRNA". It matches the Rfam family "Bacterial large subunit ribosomal RNA". The record is from RNAcentral. Lineage: Bacteria; Pseudomonadati; Pseudomonadota; Gammaproteobacteria; Enterobacterales; Yersiniaceae.